Molecule: long non-coding RNA, 1560 nt
Organism: Cucumis melo (muskmelon)
Lineage: Eukaryota; Viridiplantae; Streptophyta; Magnoliopsida; Cucurbitales; Cucurbitaceae
Exons: 5
Source: RefSeq, a predicted model, not a curated record
AAAAAAGAAAAAGAAAAUGGAAAUUAAGUGUAAAUAUAAAUAUAUAUAUUUAUAUAUUAAAUAGUUUUAUUAAAUUAAUUAAAGAAAAGAAAGAAAAGAAAGGACAAAAAGAAGAAAAGGAGAAGAAAAUUUCAUUUUCUCUUUUCUUCUUCUUCUUCUCUUCCCUUCACCGCCAAGUUUGAAGACAUCCAAGUUCCCUUUUUUUUUUUCUUUUUCCUUCUUCAAUUUGCUGAGAACUUCUAAGAGAGAGUUUGGAAGAAGAAGAGAAAUUUUACUAGAAUUUUUAGGUUGAAGAAGAGGAGGAGAACUCAAGCAAAGUGUAUCAAUGGCUGAAUUUUAGUUCAUUCUGCACAUCACUGGUUUUUAAUUCGGUUUGAACUCUUCAAAAGGAAUUAAGAGGGCAGUUGGUUUUCACUCGAAAUCAGAAGGUCUCUGGUUUGUCUUGUAUUUCAGAGUGUAUCGAUGGAGUUAGAAUCUCUAUUUGGAACAAGUUAAAGAGGUCGUGUGCGCGCGAUUCUGGAAGUGGUUCUGUUUUGAGGGUUAUAUGUGUUUAUGCACGGGGAAUCAGAUUUAUAUAUCUUCAGGCCGAGAAGAAUUAAACCGAGCUUAUAGACCAAGGAUCUAGCCCAAGACUGUAGAGAUCGACUUCCCGGUGCCUGAUAGACUGCCUUAGUCUGCGGAAGCUUCAUUAUUGAUUGCCAGUACGUGUUUUGAGUUGGGCAUAAAGUCUGUUGUGUUGUGAUGUGUUCACACCCUUGUAUGUUAUAGAUACUCCACAGUUUGUAUAAGCUUUAGGAGUUGUAGUUGUGUAAAUUUUGUUGGUUAUAUUUUGAUUAAGGUGUCUUUAGGUUUACUCGUGAAAUCGGUAAAUUUUGAGGUACAUUUCAUGUAUGUGUUUGACUAGCUGUGUUUGACUAGCCUAGGAUCCGCUGUGUUUUGUGGCAUGUACAAUAGUUUAUAUACUAGAUUGGCAAGUUCAUCACAUGAAAGUUUUAAGCAGAGUCGACAGAUACAGGUACAGAAAAGCGUUGUUCGUCGGCUUCACGCCAUCUUUCGGUCUAAGGUAGCAGGUAGUCCGGGAGGGGGUGUGACAAAUCGUUUCUUUCUUUGAUGGGUUCGUAGGAGGAAACCCUAACGCCACUGCCCUCCAUCAUAUGAAAAUGAGAAAAUCUUCUUCUUAUUCAUCGGAGGUCAAAAUCGAGAGCGUGACAGCAAAGUGAAGCGUCCGUGUUCAGUUGCUCGGAGAUGAAAAUGAGCAUUCCUGGAAAAUAGAGAAAAAUGAAGAAAAAGGGGAGAGGAGAAAAAUGAAGAAGAAGAGGAGAUGAGAGAAAAUGAUAUAAUUUUAGGAACAAACGAAGGGGAUGAGGAAACCGCCUGAUUCUUCUAAAUUCUUUGGCGCUGAAUUAAAAUUUUGUUUUUUAAUUCUUCCGCCCUUUUAUAUUUUAUAGCCUAUUGUCUAAAAGGUCAUAUUGAGGUGCGAUAAAACGGCAUAUUUGUUGCAGGAGAAAGCAAAAACAUAAAAGAAACUGAAGGAUGAAAUGUGAAUAUUGUUUUUCGUAA